AAAAAAAAAAAAAAACUUGACCGUUGGGGUAUUUACUAUGCUUACCAAUAAAUACAAUAAGGUGGUUGUGGAAGGAAUAAAUUUGGUGUUAAGAUACCUACUCCAUCUCUUAUCCUGACUAAGUUUCUGCCCAAAAAGCCAGUCAAAAUUGGGUUUAAGGUGAGCAGCUAGUAGAAAUCACCCACUGAGAUGAUGUCUGCUACCAAGCAUCUGCGAGAUCAAUUUUGAUUAAGGAGUUUCACAUAUUAGGUUUUGUCUACUAUUUCGAGAUGACCAGCUGGGUGCAGAUGAUUUGCAAUUGAAUUGGAAGUGAUCGGGAGCAUAUUUUUAAAUUUUGGGGAUAAAGACCAUCUCUGUUGAUAAUUAGAUUUUUAUCCCUUUCAAAUUGUUGCUAUAGUUGCUUUUGGCUUGAUCUGGUGCAGAGGGCAACAGUAUUGGCAUAAAAAGGUCCAAAGGAUACCAUUAUUUGAGUUCAGUUGGAAGUGAUCUGGAGCUAAUUAGAACAUUUGGGGGAUAGAAUCCAUCUCUCUUCACAGUUAGAUUUUUAUCCCUUUUGAAUUGUCACGUUUGACUUGAUCUGGUGCCGAAGACAACAGUAUUGACAUAAAAUAAGUCGAAAGGACACCAUCAUUUGAGAUAUUCAGAAUGUAUUUGUUUUGUGUGUGAUGUUUUGCAAUCCUCUUGAUCUUCUUAAUUGAUAUACCUGAUCCAUAUCUGCAGUGCUAAUAUGCCAAUUGGUAUUCGCAGGUAUUUUCUGACUGAAAUUGAAGGUUCUGAGCAAAAAUCUGAUCCAGAGACUGAAAAGGACUGCAGAUGCUGUUGGAUUCUGACCUCCCUGCACUCGAAGCGGAUUUUCUGGAGCUACAGAAGCCCAAUUGGCGCGCUCUCAACGGCGUUGGAAAGUAGACAUCCAGGGCUUUCCAGCAAUAUAUAAUAGUCCAUACUUUGCCCAAGAUUUGAUGGCCCAAACCUGCGUAGCAAACCGGCCUCAGAAAUUCCAGCGUUAAACGCCGGAACUGGCAUAAAACUUGGAGUUAAACGCCCAAACUGGCAUGAGAACUGGCGUUUAACUCCAGAAAACGUCUCUACACAUAAAAGCUUCAAUGCUCAGCCCAAGCACACACCAAGUGGGCUCGGAAGUGGAUUUUUCUGUCAAUUACUCAUUUCUGUAAACCUUAGGAUACUAGUUUACUACUUAUAGGACCUUUUGACUUUGUAAUCAGUACGGAAUGCGACCUUAUGACAUUGUACACCUUUUCUUCCACAGCAUGAGUCUCUAAACCCCAUGGUUGGGGGUGAGGAGCUCUGCUGUGUCUUGAUGAAUUAAUGCAAUUACUACUGUUUCUCAUUCAAUCAUGCUUGCUUCCAUUCUAAGAUAAUACUUGUUCUUAAUCCGGAUGAAUGUGAUGAUCAGUGACAAUCAUCAUCAUUCUCAACUAUGAACAUGUGCCUGACAACCACCUCUGUUCUACCUUAGAUUAAGUAGUUAUCUCUUGGAUUCUUUUAUCGGAAUCUUCGUGGUAUAAGCUAGACUGAUGGCAGCAUUCAAGAGAAUCCGGAAGGUCUAAACCUUGUCUGUGGUAUUCUGAGUAGGAUUCAAUGACUGAAUGACCGUGACGUGCUUCAAUCUCCUGAAGGCGGGGCGUUAGUGACAGACGCCAAAAGAAUCACUGGAUUCUACUCCGGUCUGAUUGAGAACCGACAUAUGGAAUGCCAUGCCGUGACAGGGCAUUAGGAAUCGUUCCAAUGAGAGGAUGGGAGGUAGCCACUGACAACGGUGAAACCCUACACACAGCUUGCCAUGGAAGGAGACUUGCGUGUUUGAUGAAGAAGACAGUAGGAAAGCAGAGAUUCAGAAGAUGGAGCAUCUCCAAACCUCAACCUAUUCUCCAUUACUGCAAAACAAGUAACCAUUUCAUGUUCUUUUGCUUUUCACAAUCAAUCCUGAUAAUUUCUGAUAUCCUGACUAAGAUUAACAAGAUAACCAUAGCUUGAUUCAAGCCGACAAUCUCCGUGGGAUCGACCCUUGCUCACGCAAGGUAUUACUUGGACGACCCAGUGCACUUGCUGGUUAGUUGUGCGGGACUGCAAAAGUGUUAUUGCAAUUUCGUGCACCAAGUUUUUGGCGCCGUUGCCGGGGAUUGUUCGAGUUUGGACAACUGACGGCUUAUCUUGUUGCUUAGAUUAGGACUAUUUUUGUUGGUUUAGAGUCUUUUAGUUGAGUCUAGUUUCAUAUUCUAAGUUUGGUGUCAAU
Molecule: long non-coding RNA, 2254 nt
Organism: Arachis stenosperma
Lineage: Eukaryota; Viridiplantae; Streptophyta; Magnoliopsida; Fabales; Fabaceae
Exons: 7
Source: RefSeq, a predicted model, not a curated record